ACGAACGCUGGCGGCGUGCCUAAUACAUGCAAGUCGAACGCUUCUUUCCUCCCGAGUGCUUGCACUCAAUUGGAAAGAGGAGUGGCGGACGGGUGAGUAACACGUGGGUAACCUACCCAUCAGAGGGGGAUAACACUUGGAAACAGGUGCUAAUACCGCAUAACAGUUUAUGUCGCAUGGCAUAAGAGUGAAAGGCGCUUUCGGGUGUCGCUGAUGGAUGGACCCGCGGUGCAUUAGCUAGUUGGUGAGGUAACGGCUCACCAAGGCCACGAUGCAUAGCCGACCUGAGAGGGUGAUCGGCCACACUGGGACUGAGACACGGCCCAGACUCCUACGGGAGGCAGCAGUAGGGAAUCUUCGGCAAUGGACGAAAGUCUGACCGAGCAACGCCGCGUGAGUGAAGAAGGUUUUCGGAUCGUAAAACUCUGUUGUUAGAGAAGAACAAGGACGUUAGUAACUGAACGUCCCCUGACGGUAUCUAACCAGAAAGCCACGGCUAACUACGUGCCAGCAGCCGCGGUAAUACGUAGGUGGCAAGCGUUGUCCGGAUUUAUUGGGCGUAAAGCGAGCGCAGGCGGUUUCUUAAGUCUGAUGUGAAAGCCCCCGGCUCAACCGGGGAGGGUCAUUGGAAACUGGGAGACUUGAGUGCAGAAGAGGAGAGUGGAAUUCCAUGUGUAGCGGUGAAAUGCGUAGAUAUAUGGAGGAACACCAGUGGCGAAGGCGGCUCUCUGGUCUGUAACUGACGCUGAGGCUCGAAAGCGUGGGGAGCAAACAGG
This 776-nucleotide ribosomal RNA is filed under the name uncultured Bacilli bacterium. Its description in RNAcentral is "bacterial SSU rRNA". It matches the Rfam family "Bacterial small subunit ribosomal RNA", at positions 29 to 776 of the family's 1533-position model. Lineage: Bacteria; Bacillati; Bacillota; Bacilli. The record is from RNAcentral.